ACUCAAAUGAAUUGACGGGGCCCCGCACAAGCGGCGGAGCAUGUUCAUUAAUUCGAUGCAACGCGAAGAACCUUACCUGGGUUUGACAUAUACCGGAAACAUCUGGAGACAGGUGCCCCUUUUUGGUCGGUAUACAGGUGGUGCAUGGCUGUCGUCAGCUCGUGUCGUGAGAUGUUGGGUUAAGUCCCGCAACGAGCGCAACCCUCGUCCAUUGUUGCCAGCGGGUAAUGCCGGGGACUCAAUGGAGACCGCCGGGGCCAACUCGGAGGAAGGUGGGGAUGAGGUCAAGUCAUCAUGCCCCUUAUGUCCAGGGCUUGAAACAUGCUACAAUGGCAGGUACAAAGGGCUGCGAUACCGCAAGGUUGAGCGAAUCCCAAAAAGCCUGUCUCAGUUCGGAUUGGGGUCUGCAACUCGACCCCAUGAAGUCGGAGUCGCUAGUAAUCGCAGAUCAGCAACGCUGCGGUGAAUACGUUCCCGGGGCUUGUACACACCGCCCGU
This 498-nucleotide ribosomal RNA is filed under the name uncultured bacterium. Its description in RNAcentral is "partial 16S ribosomal RNA". It matches the Rfam family "Bacterial small subunit ribosomal RNA", at positions 899 to 1397 of the family's 1533-position model. The record is from RNAcentral.